Long non-coding RNA from Eubalaena glacialis (North Atlantic right whale), 362 nucleotides. RefSeq lists it as uncharacterized. The record is from RefSeq and is a predicted model, not a curated record. NCBI's taxonomy places the organism in Eukaryota, Metazoa, Chordata, Mammalia, Artiodactyla, Balaenidae. The transcript is spliced from 3 exons.
CGUGCGCGCCUCACUGUGUCGCUGAAUAUGUGCAGGACCGAGGGCCGGGAGGGGGAGGCUCAUCCUCUCCAGUAGAAAACAAAGGGCAAAGCCCAAGCAGCAGGCGUUUUAGAAGCCCUCCAGGUGGUUCCCAUCUGCAACCACGUUUGAAAACCAUCGCACCUGGCCAGGGUGCCGUCCCUGGUCGCGUCUAGAAGCUGGAGAAGUACGAAACAGGCGCUGAGCAGUGGAGGAGGAGACGAGAAACCCGGCUGGAGGCGGACGGGGAGACAAAGCCGGUGCCGCAGAGUGUCGGUGCAGGAAGACCUUUGGGACGAGAGUAAAGCAUCGUGCGGGAAUCUGCGCGCCGAACCAGUGCUGGG